GACAGAGGGUGCAAACGUUGUUCGGAAUUACUGGGCGUAAAGCGCGUGUAGGCGGCUAUGCAAGUCGGAUGUGAAAGCCCUCGGCUCAACCGGGGAAGUGCACCCGAAACUGCAAAGCUAGAGUCUCGGAGAGGAUCGUGGAAUUCUCGGUGUAGAGGUGAAAUUCGUAGAGAUCGGGAGGAACACCAGCGGCGAAGGCGCCUAUCUGGCUGACAACUGACGCUGAGACUCGAAAGCAUGGGGAGCAAACAGG
This 253-nucleotide ribosomal RNA is filed under the name uncultured bacterium. Its description in RNAcentral is "partial 16S ribosomal RNA". It matches the Rfam family "Bacterial small subunit ribosomal RNA", at positions 524 to 776 of the family's 1533-position model. The record is from RNAcentral.